CUCGAUAAUCCACGAAUGUCUUACCUUUCCUAGACCCUCAGCUUGUGUACUGCCGUCGUAAGCAAACCUCUAAAAGUAGAAGUAUGCAAUUAUGUCCAACUCAUUUACGUCAGGUCAAAGUGCAGCUAAUGGGAAGGCGAUGAUGGGUUACAACCUAAACAAUAGAUACAGACUACAGUACUAACAGCUGCAUGAAGGUGGACUUGGACGUAAUAAUAACAGUAUUAUAAUGAAGAUGAAUCUAAGACAUGCACACAUCGCCCGUCACUCUUGCCCAAAGGCAAGAUAAGUCGUAACAAAGUAGGUGUAACGGAAGUUGCACCUGU
This 326-nucleotide ribosomal RNA is filed under the name Octodrilus transpadanus. RNAcentral's name for it is "partial 12S ribosomal RNA". It matches the Rfam family "Bacterial small subunit ribosomal RNA", at positions 950 to 1520 of the family's 1533-position model. Lineage: Eukaryota; Metazoa; Annelida; Clitellata; Crassiclitellata; Lumbricidae. The record is from RNAcentral.